UACAGAGGUGGCAAGCGUUGUUCGGAAUUACUGGGCGUAAAGGGCGCGUAGGCGGUUCGUUAAGUCCUGUGUGAAAUCCCCCGGCUCAACUGGGGAACUGCACAGGAAACUAGCGGGCUUGAGUUCGGGAGAGGGAAGCGGAAUUCCGGGUGUAGCGGUGAAAUGCGUAGAUAUCCGGAGGAACACCGGUGGCGAAGGCGGCUUCCUGGACCGACACUGACGCUGAGGCGCGAAAGCUAGGGGGGCAAACGGG
RNAcentral lists this ribosomal RNA (253 nucleotides) under uncultured bacterium. RNAcentral describes it as "partial 16S ribosomal RNA". It matches the Rfam family "Bacterial small subunit ribosomal RNA", at positions 524 to 776 of the family's 1533-position model. The record is from RNAcentral.